CUGAAACAGUCGCGAAUGGGACUAGCCAGUCAGGGAAAACCAGUGAAGAUGUGACUGAUAAAAAAGGGAAGGAAAAUGUCGGGGUAAAGGAAAUGGAUGUAGAUAAGAAAGGUGACAAGAAAGCUGAAGUGGAGAAAAUGGAUGAAGACCUAGAGGCCAAUGGAUGCAAAGGAUGAAAAAUUGAAGAAGAACAAGGGAUCCAAAGUUGAGGAAAAGAAAGAAGAAAUGGUCCAAUGAAGUUAAGAUAGGUGAUGAGAAUGCUGAAGUUGAAAAAAUGGAUGAAGACCUAGAGGCUGAUGGAAGCAGAGAUGAAAAAUUAAAAGAAGAAAAAGAGGAACUUAAAGUUGAGGAAAUGGAAGAAGAAACUGGUCCGAAUGAAAAAAAGGAGACCGAAGAAAAGACUGAAGAAAAGAGGGAAUUUGAAGUGGAGGAGGACAAGGUAAAGAAGGCAGAAGAGAAGGCAGAAGAGUUGGAAGAAGAAAAAGAAGAAGAGAAAGAAGAAGAAAAGGAAGAAGAGAAGGAAG
This 524-nucleotide long non-coding RNA is filed under the name Prunus persica (peach). Its description in RNAcentral is "long non-coding RNA (PPER_LNC004381)". Lineage: Eukaryota; Viridiplantae; Streptophyta; Magnoliopsida; Rosales; Rosaceae. The record is from RNAcentral.